GCAUGGGGGUAUGUGGAAAGUUUUUUCGGUUGGGGAUGGGCUCGCGGCCUAUCAGCUUGUUGGUGGGGUAAAGGCCUACCAAGGCGACGACGGGUAGCCGGCCUGAGAGGGCGACCGGCCACACUGGGACUGAGACACGGCCCAGACUCCUACGGGAGGCAGCAGUGGGGAAUAUUGCACAAUGGGGGAAACCCUGAUGCAGCGACGCCGCGUGAGGGAUGACGGCCUUCGGGUUGUAAACCUCUUUCAGCAGGGAAGAAGCCCCCUCGGGGGUGACGGUACCUGCAGAAGAAGUACCGGCUAACUACGUGCCAGCAGCCGCGGUAAUACGUAGGGUACAAGCGUUGUCCGGAAUUAUUGGGCGUAAAGAGCUCGUAGGCGGUUCGUCGCGUCUGCUGUGGAAACGCAAGGCUCAACCUUGCGCGUGCAGCGGGUACGGGCGUAACUAGAGUGCAGUAGGGGAGUCUGGAAUUCCUGGUGUAGCGGUGAAAUGCGCAGAUAUCAGGAGGAACACCGGUGGCGAAGGCGGGACUCUGGGCUGUUACUGACGCUGAGGAGCGAAAGCAUGGGGAGCGAACAGGAUUAGAUACCCUGGUAGUCCAUGCCGUAAACGUUGGGCACUAGGUGUGGGGCUCAUUCCACGAGUUCCGUGCCGCAGCU
This 660-nucleotide ribosomal RNA is filed under the name Brevibacterium sp. RNAcentral describes it as "bacterial SSU rRNA". It matches the Rfam family "Bacterial small subunit ribosomal RNA", at positions 188 to 853 of the family's 1533-position model. The record is from RNAcentral. Lineage: Bacteria; Bacillati; Actinomycetota; Actinomycetes; Micrococcales; Brevibacteriaceae.